Molecule: ribosomal RNA, 527 nt
Filed under: Rhodotorula mucilaginosa
Lineage: Eukaryota; Fungi; Basidiomycota; Microbotryomycetes; Sporidiobolales; Sporidiobolaceae
Description: LSU rRNA
Rfam family: Eukaryotic large subunit ribosomal RNA
Source: RNAcentral
AAUCUGGCACCUUCGGUGUCCGAGUUGUAAUCUCUAGAAAUGUUUUCCGCGUUGGACCGCACACAAGUCUGUUGGAAUACAGCGGCAUAGUGGUGAGACCCCCGUAUAUGGUGCGGACGCCCAGCGCUUUGUGAUACAUUUUCGAAGAGUCGAGUUGUUUGGGAAUGCAGCUCAAAUUGGGUGGUAAAUUCCAUCUAAAGCUAAAUAUUGGCGAGAGACCGAUAGCGAACAAGUACCGUGAGGGAAAGAUGAAAAGCACUUUGGAAAGAGAGUUAACAGUACGUGAAAUUGUUGGAAGGGAAACGCUUGAAGUCAGACUUGCUUGCCGAGCAAUCGGUUUGCAGGCCAGCAUCAGUUUUCCGGGAUGGAUAAUGGUAGAGAGAAGGUAGCAGUUUCGGCUGUGUUAUAGCUCUCUGCUGGAUACAUCUUGGGGGACUGAGGAACGCAGUGUGCCUUUGGCGGGGGUUUCGACCUCUUCACACUUAGGAUGCUGGUGGAAUGGCUUUAAACGACCCGUCUGACCCCGG